This 21-nucleotide non-coding RNA is filed under the name Arabidopsis thaliana (thale cress). Lineage: Eukaryota; Viridiplantae; Streptophyta; Magnoliopsida; Brassicales; Brassicaceae. The record is from RNAcentral.
AGAGGUGGCGUUCCAGCUGCA